AAUCAUGUAUAAUCCUUCAUCUCAACACCCCCCCUCAAGUUGGAGGGGGAAACCACCUGCAACUUGGAUAGCAGUGGAUGAAGCACAGUUCCAGGCAAUGGCUUAGUGAGCAGGUCAACCAGUUGACGAGAAGUAGGAACAUGAAGUAGCUUGAGAAAACCACUUUGUAGCAGGUCCCGAACAAAAUGGCAGUCCACCUCGAUGUGUUUUGUACUUUCAUGAAAAACAGGACUGUUAGCUAUAUGUACAGCAGCCUGACUGUCACAAUAUACAGAAAAAGGAGUAGAAACAGAUACCCCAAGAUCAACCAACAACGAGAAAGCCAAGUCAACUAAGCAACAACUUUGCUGAGGGCUCUAUAUUCUGCCUCAGCAGAAGACAGAGAGACAAAAGGUUGCUUCUUCGAUUUCCAACUAAUCAGACAACCACCCAAAAGCACACAAAAUCCAGUAACAGAUCGUCUAGUAUCAGGGCAUGCAGCCCAGUCACUAUCAGAAUAGCCAGUAACAGAGAAAUCAGUAUGGGCAGAAUAAAAUAAACCCAUAGAAGGAGUGCCUUUGAGGUAUCUCAAAACAUGCAAGGCAGCAGUCAUAUGGGGAAGUCUGGGGCAUUUGAGGAAUUGACUCAGAUGUUGAACAGCAAAGCAUAUGUCAGGCCUAGUGUGAGUCAGAAAUAACAGCUUACCAACAAGACUCCUAUACUGAUCAGGAGAGGUUAAAAGGUCACCAGAANNNNNUAUUAAAAUAGACUCCUGUACUGGUCAGGAGAGGAUAAAAGGUCACCAGAAUCAGCAUGAAGUUUGAUAUUAAUGUCCAAAGGAGAAACAACAGAGGAGAUAUUUGCACAGUCAAACUGAUGCAAUAAAUCAGAAAUAUACUUAUACUGAUAAAGGAUCAUUCCACCAGGAACAACUGACAUUUCAAGGCCCAAAAAAUAAUGCAGAGAACCUAGAUCUUUGAUUUUAAACUGAUCAUCCAGAAAUAGUUUCACGGCAGUAAUUUCAUCACUGUCAUCCCCAGUAAGGAUAAUAUCAUCCACAUAGACUGCGACAACCAUAAGGGAGCCAAGUUUACCUUUGAUGAACAAAGAAUAGUCAUUCAAAGAAUGUUUGUACCCCUUGGAAUAAAGAGCAGAAGACAACUUGGCAUACCAUUGUCUGGAUGCUUGUCUUAGCCCAUAUAGGGAUUUUUUGAGUUUACAAACCAGAGGAGAAGAAGGAGAAGAAGGAGGAGAAAUAGAACCAGAAAUAGGAGCAGACACUGUCAAACCUGGAAGAAGUUUCAUGUAAACUUCCUCAUCCAAAUCUCCAUGGAGAAAAGAAUUAUUGACAUCAAGCUGAAAUAGAGGCAAGUGAUUCUUGACAGCCACAGCAAUAAGGCAUUUCACAGUGGUCAUCUUAAUCACAGGAGAAAAAGUGUCAGUGAAGUCAAUCCCUUCAACUUGUCUAUCACCCCUAAUAACAAGCUUGCUUUAUACCUUUCAACAAGACCAUCAGACUUGUAUUUGAUUUUAUAGACCCACUUAAAGCCAAUGGGUUUCAUACCAGGAGGAAGAGGAAUAAUAUCCCAAGUAUGGUUAGCUUCCAAAGCAUCAAACUCCUAUCUCAUUGCAUUCUGCCAUGCUGGGACAGAUGCAGCUAGAGAGUAAUACAUAGGUUCAGAUUCCAAAGUGGAAGAAGAGGAACCAGAAAAGGUAGGCAGUUGACAGACAUAUCCUUAAGAUAGGAAGGAGGAUUAUGCUGUCUAGUGGACUUUCUAGGAGUGGGAAGAGGAUGUGAAGGGGGUAACACAGGAGGAGGCAGAUCAUGAUUGAAAUAAGGAAGGGAAGAUGGACCAGCAUUAGGAAAAUUAGGUGCAUGAGAAUCAUAAGUAGAAAGAGGAACAGGAGAAUCAGGGGAAGCAUGUAUAGGAAAGUCUGUGUCAGUGAAAUGAUCAGCAGGAGGAAUAGAAGGAAAGGAUGAAGGAGAAGGGUGAGCGGAAGUAGGUUUAUUGUUAAAAGGGAAAUAAGUUUCAUGGAAGAUAACAUCUCUUGAGACAAAACACUUCGGGUGAGAAGAAGUAGGUUUAUUCUUAAAAGGAAAAUAAGUUUCAUGGAAGAUAACAUCUCUUGAGACACAACACUUCUUGGAAACCAAAUUAUACAGUUUAUAGCCCUUUUGGGCAAAGGGGUAACCCAGAAACACACAAGAGUGAGAUCUAGGUUUCAGCUUGUCCCUUUGAGGAAUAGGGACAGCAGCAUAAGCAAGGCAUCCAAAUGCN
RNAcentral lists this long non-coding RNA (2258 nucleotides) under Nicotiana benthamiana. Its description in RNAcentral is "long non-coding RNA (NBEN_LNC023495)". The record is from RNAcentral. Lineage: Eukaryota; Viridiplantae; Streptophyta; Magnoliopsida; Solanales; Solanaceae.